GUGCUCCCUUCAGCAGCACAUAUACUAAAAAAAAUUAGAAGAGUACAGAGAAGAUUAGCAUGGCCCCUGCACAAGGAUGACACACAAAUUUGUGAGGCAAAUUUCACUUUC
This is a small nuclear RNA of Dromiciops gliroides (monito del monte), 111 nucleotides long. The record is from RefSeq and is a predicted model, not a curated record. NCBI's taxonomy places the organism in Eukaryota, Metazoa, Chordata, Mammalia, Microbiotheria, Microbiotheriidae.